UACGUAGGGAGCAAGCGUUGUCCGGAUUUAUUGGGCGUAAAGAGCUCGUAGGCGGCUUAGAAAGUCAGGUGUGAAACCUCCAGGCUCAACCUGGAGACGCCACUUGAUACUUCUAUGGCUUGAGUUCGGUAGGGGUAAGCGGAAUUCCUGGUGUAGCGGUGAAAUGCGCAGAUAUCAGGAGGAACACCGAUGGCGAAGGCGGCACUCUGGGCCGGUACUGACGCUGAGGAGCGAAAGCGUGGGGAGCAAACAGG
RNAcentral lists this ribosomal RNA (254 nucleotides) under uncultured bacterium. Its description in RNAcentral is "partial 16S ribosomal RNA". It matches the Rfam family "Bacterial small subunit ribosomal RNA", at positions 524 to 776 of the family's 1533-position model. The record is from RNAcentral.